AUUGAACGCUGGCGGCAUGCUUUACACAUGCAAGUCGAACGGUAACAGGUUAAGCUGACGAGUGGCGAACGGGUGAGUAAUGCAUCGGAACGUGCCCGGUCGUGGGGGAUAACGCAGCGAAAGCUGCGCUAAUACCGCAUACGAUCUGAGGAUGAAAGCGGGGGACCGUAAGGCCUCGCGCGAUCGGAGCGGCCGAUGUCAGAUUAGGUAGUUGGUGGGGUAAAGGAUCACCAAGCCAACGAUCUGUAGCUGGUCUGAGAGGACGACCAGCCACACUGGGACUGAGACACGGCCCAGACUCCUACGGGAGGCAGCAGUGGGGAAUUUUGGAAAAUGGGCGAAAGCCUGAACCAGCAAUGCCGCGUGCAGAAAGAAGGCCUUCGGGUUGUAAACUGCUUUUGUACGGAGCGAAAAGGUCUCCUCUAAUACAGGGGGCUCAUGACGGUACCGUAAGAAUAAGCACCGGCUAACUACGUGCCAGCAGCCGCGGUAA
Molecule: ribosomal RNA, 493 nt
Filed under: uncultured bacterium
Lineage: Bacteria
Description: partial 16S ribosomal RNA
Rfam family: Bacterial small subunit ribosomal RNA
Source: RNAcentral